This 492-nucleotide ribosomal RNA is filed under the name uncultured bacterium. RNAcentral describes it as "partial 16S ribosomal RNA". It matches the Rfam family "Bacterial small subunit ribosomal RNA", at positions 29 to 507 of the family's 1533-position model. The record is from RNAcentral.
AGUGAACGCUGGCGGUAGGCCUAACACAUGCAAGUCGAACGGCAGCACAGUAAGAGCUUGCUCUUACGGGUGGCGAGUGGCGGACGGGUGAGGAAUACAUCGGAAUCUACUUUUUCGUGGGGGAUAACGUAGGGAAACUUGCGCUAAUACCGCAUACGACCUACGGGUGAAAGCAGGGGAUCUUCGGACCUUGCGCGAUUGAAUGAGCCGAUGUCGGAUUAGCUAGUUGGCGGGGUAAAGGCCCACCAAGGCGACGAUCCGUAGCUGGUCUGAGAGGAUGAUCAGCCACACUGGAACUGAGACACGGUCCAGACUCCUACGGGAGGCAGCAGUGGGGAAUAUUGGACAAUGGGCGCAAGCCUGAUCCAGCCAUACCGCGUGGGUGAAGAAGGCCUUCGGGUUGUAAAGCCCUUUUGUUGGGAAAGAAGAGCAGCAGGUUAAUACCCCGCUGUUCUGACGGUACCCAAAGAAUAAGCACCGGCUAACUUCGUG